RNAcentral lists this ribosomal RNA (492 nucleotides) under uncultured bacterium. RNAcentral's name for it is "partial 16S ribosomal RNA". It matches the Rfam family "Bacterial small subunit ribosomal RNA", at positions 29 to 507 of the family's 1533-position model. The record is from RNAcentral.
AGUGAACGCUGGCGGUAGGCCUAACACAUGCAGGUCGAACGGCAGCACAGUAAGAGCUUGCUCUUACGGGUGGCGAGUGGCGGACGGGUGAGGAAUACAUCGGAAUCUACUUUUUCGUGGGGGAUAACGUAGGGAAACUUACGCUAAUACCGCAUACGACCUACGGGUGAAAGCAGGGGAUCUUCGGACCUUGCGCGAUUGAAUGAGCCGAUGUCGGGUUAGCUAGUUGGCGGGGUAAAGGCCCACCAAGGCGACGAUCCGUAGCUGGUCUGAGAGGAUGAUCAGCCACACUGGAACUGAGACACGGUCCAGACUCCUACGGGAGGCAGCAGUGGGGAAUAUUGGACAAUGGGCGCAAGCCUGAUCCAGCCAUACCGCGUGGGUGAAGAAGGCCUUCGGGUUGUAAAGCCCUUUUGUUGGGAAAGAAAAGCAGCAGGUUAAUACCCCGCUGUUCUGACGGUACCCAAAGAAUAAGCACCGGCUAACUUCGUG